GCGGUGGCAGCCAUGGCGGACGGUUGCGAUGAGGCUGCUCCUGGGUCUCGCGGCUAUCCAAGACCAUCGAGGGUCCCCGGCGGCGCCUGCCGUCUGCUGAGGCUGGGUGGACUCCUCUGCGGCAGAUCUCCUGUAAGAUGUGCUGCAUCCACGUACCUGGCGGCCUCCCUCAUCGCGUGCUGUUGGUAGGGGGGCGAGUCAGGCCCUGUACACGUCCUGACAGGCACCCGGCCCACCCCCAGCCAACUGUGCGCUGUGUUCCUGCCCCAGCACGAGACCUGUGGGGUGUCCGCGGCAGAAGAUGUCAGAGCUGGAAGAGACCUGAGAGGCGAUCCCCUUGGUGGGUGAUGGUUCUUCCGGGAAUCUGGUGGUUUGCGCGCCUUGUCGUCUGCUUCCAGAACAAGGAUCUUCGCUGUACGCCAAGACCCAGACCCCUCUGACAUCGGAAUGACAAGUGGGAUA
Molecule: long non-coding RNA, 462 nt
Filed under: Sus scrofa (pig)
Lineage: Eukaryota; Metazoa; Chordata; Mammalia; Artiodactyla; Suidae
Description: lncRNA (ENSSSCG00060007169.1)
Source: RNAcentral